This is a long non-coding RNA of Podarcis raffonei (Aeolian wall lizard), 354 nucleotides long. RefSeq lists it as uncharacterized. The record is from RefSeq and is a predicted model, not a curated record. NCBI's taxonomy places the organism in Eukaryota, Metazoa, Chordata, Lepidosauria, Squamata, Lacertidae. The transcript has 2 exons.
UUCAGCGCCCCCCAAAUCUAAUAAAAAUUAUAGUGUGUGUUGUCCCUUUUCCCAAUAGAGCAUCUCAGACUAAGGACCAGAAACAGGAAGCCAGCCUGAGCAGUGGCCCAUCAGAAAAAAGCCCUUCAUCUUUGGCCCAGGGACUGAGCUGACUUUGCAAAACGGUUCUGAAGAUAAGGGGUGAUGAGGGACACAGAGACCGGGGUUUCUGAAGUUGCUGUUAAGAGAAAGAAAAUUUCCCACGUACAAUACGAUGCUUGCAGCUUAGAAGAUGAGACACAAAUAGUCAGAGAACUGAAGAUGGCAGGGGAAAGAUCUGGAUUACAUGCUACAGAGAUCUGUACAACCCUGUUA